GUGACCUGCGGAGGAUCAUUAACGAGUUAGGGUCUCUCUGGCCCGACCUCCCAACCCUUUGUCUACUUGACCAUCGUUGCUUCGGCGAGCCCGUCCUUACGGACCGCCGGAGGGAUCUUUACUGGCCCUCUGGUCCGCGCUCGUCGGUAGCCCAACCUUUAAAAUCUUUAACUAAACGUGCCUUAAUCUAAGUACAAUUAUUAAAUAAAAGCAAAACUUUCAACAACGGAUCUCUUGGUUCUGGCAUCGAUGAAGAACGCAGCGAAAUGCGAUAAGUAAUGCGAAUUGCAGAAUUCCAGUGAGUCACCGAAUCUUUGAACGCACAUUGCGCCCUUUGGUAUUCCGAAGGGCAUGCCUGUUCGAGCGUCAUUAUCACCCCUCAAGCCCUCGGCUUGGUGUUGGACGGUUUGGUGGAGGCCCCCUCGGGGGCUCCUGCCCCUCCCAAAGACAAUGACGGCGGCCUCGUUGGACCCCCGGUACACUGAGUUCUUCACGGGACACGUAUCGGACACAUGGGUUUACGGGACACGGUCUGCCUCCCCUCAGGGAGAAUCUUUCUAAGGUUGACCUCGGAUCAGGUAGGGAUACCCGCUGAACCUAA
Molecule: unclassified non-coding RNA, 601 nt
Filed under: uncultured Exophiala
Lineage: Eukaryota; Fungi; Ascomycota; Eurotiomycetes; Chaetothyriales; Herpotrichiellaceae
Description: sequence contains ITS1, 5.8S rRNA gene, ITS2
Rfam family: 5.8S ribosomal RNA (bases 215-369)
Source: RNAcentral